Molecule: non-coding RNA, 73 nt
Organism: Podarcis lilfordi (Lilford's wall lizard)
Lineage: Eukaryota; Metazoa; Chordata; Lepidosauria; Squamata; Lacertidae
Source: the annotation of a GenBank genome assembly
GCAAGGGUAGCUCAGGCGGAAGAGCAUGAGACUCUUAAUCUCGGGGUUGUGGGUUCAAGCCCCACGUUGGGCA